Molecule: non-coding RNA, 24 nt
Filed under: Arabidopsis thaliana (thale cress)
Lineage: Eukaryota; Viridiplantae; Streptophyta; Magnoliopsida; Brassicales; Brassicaceae
Source: RNAcentral
AUAGGAUCGAUGCGCUGUAACGCC